Molecule: long non-coding RNA, 348 nt
Organism: Andrographis paniculata
Lineage: Eukaryota; Viridiplantae; Streptophyta; Magnoliopsida; Lamiales; Acanthaceae
Exons: 3
Source: RefSeq, a predicted model, not a curated record
ACUCUUCUUCAAUAUCUGCCCAGUGGAUCUAUAGUGUCAGAUGGAUUAGCUCUGAAAGUACUAAGGAGGAUGUUAUAUUCUUUUAUCGUUGUUUUUCUUUUUUCAAACGAUGGUUGGAGUUCGUGAGAUGAUGAGAAUUAUAUUCCCUUUCUCUGGAGUGGGUGGAUCGACCUCCUACCCUACGAUGCUCAACUCCUGAGGUUCUUCCAAUUCCAAGAACUUCAAACUGUAUAUUCUCACAGUCGAUGAAGGAGAGGGCGCAUUAAGAAACUUAAUUGAUGUCGUAACAAUAUGUGGGACCUUACCAUGUGCCACGAUCUCCCUACCCGCUCAACAUGGAGAACCCAA